GAUGAACGCUGGCUGUGUGCCUAAUACAUGCAUGUCGAGCGAAGUGACUUAUCACUUAGCGGCGAAUGGGUGAGUAACACGUACUCAACGUACCCUUCAGUUUGGCAUAGCGGUUGGAAACAACCGAUAAUUCCAAAUACUCGUAGAUGCCGCAUGGCAUUUACGGAAAAGGCGCCUUAAAGCGUCGCUGGAGGAGCGGGGUGCGCAACAUUAGGUAGUUGGUGAGGUAAAGGCUCACCAAGCCGACGAUCUUUAGCUGGUCUGAGAGGAUGACCAGCCACACUGGGACUGAGACACGGCCCAG
This 304-nucleotide ribosomal RNA is filed under the name uncultured bacterium. Its description in RNAcentral is "bacterial SSU rRNA". It matches the Rfam family "Bacterial small subunit ribosomal RNA", at positions 28 to 334 of the family's 1533-position model. The record is from RNAcentral.